AUGACAGACGAGAAGGAGGCCCGUCUCCUGCAGCGUGUCAUGGACGACUCCAUGUACACGCACGACGAGCGGCAGUGGGACGGCCUGGAGGAGGCCAUGGGCCUCUCUGCUGCCGCCGCCACGUUCCAGCAGCUGCUGGGCCAGGGGUGGGGCUGGUCCUGCACUGCUCCGGAGAUGGCCGCCGGCGUGGGCGUGAACUGGUGCCCCACUCCGCCGCGGUCACCGGAGCGGGAGGCCUCGCCACGGGAGGAGGUGGUGCAGGCACCUCCGGCCGUCCAGCCCAUCUCUGGACGCCGCCGGAGUACGUCGACCUCGUCAGCGACGAUGACGACACCGGCGGCCAGUGGAGACGGCGACGGCCACGGCACCGACGGGCGCGGCAGGAGCGCGCGGGAGCGCGGAGGCGUUUUUAUUUAUUUUUUUAUAUGUUAA
Molecule: ribosomal RNA, 432 nt
Filed under: Triticum aestivum (bread wheat)
Lineage: Eukaryota; Viridiplantae; Streptophyta; Magnoliopsida; Poales; Poaceae
Description: partial small subunit ribosomal RNA
Source: RNAcentral